AGUUCCGAGGUGUUUACAUGUAAGAUUGCAAAUCUUAAGUAGCAGGGUAAAGCCUGCCGGGGCUU
RNAcentral lists this transfer RNA (65 nucleotides) under Priolepis cincta (girdled goby). RNAcentral's name for it is "tRNA-Cys". The record is from RNAcentral. Lineage: Eukaryota; Metazoa; Chordata; Actinopteri; Gobiiformes; Gobiidae.